AAUGCGGAGUUGUACUGCCUUACCGGCUGCACACGUGGAAGGAGGAGGCGGCUGCAGAUCUUGCAGAGCCGUCCUCCCCCCGCCGCCGCCUCCUUCUUUAAUAUUUUAAAGCUAAACCGAAGAUAGAUGGAACCUGACGGCUAACCUCAGUAAGCUGAUGAGAACCAAGAAACCCCUGGGCGUGAAGCUACGUGGGGCUUCUGUACCUUUAGCAGCUGCACAACAGGAAGAAUCUAACAGUUUCGUAUUUACCAUCCCUUAAAGAAGAUUUCUUAAAAUUAAAGCUUAGAUCUUCUGCAUAAGCACAUUAGCUGAGCACUGAAGGAGGAUCAUCCUGAGAGUAAAACUGCAGCUUCAACCACCAAUGAAGGGAGGCAGUGGUGAUGGCUGUCCUAGCUCAAGUCUCUCCACACGAAAGGAAACAACUGCCAGGAUCUGUCUCCAGCAACAUUUCUUUGCCUGGCUACUGGAAGAAAUGCUUUAUUAGGGCCAAACUACACAUGAUGCAGGAGAUCCAAAGCCCUUUUAUUUUCCUAAAAGCAGCUGCAUCAGGGACAGACAGCUUGGAUCAAGGAUGCAUUAGUAGGGGGCUUGACCCUCUCCCCUUGCAUAUCUCGUAUAAAUUGACCCCCUACCCCCAAAACUGCUAUUAGCAUGGAAGAGGAAACAUUCAAGUACAAAUAUCUCUGUGUUGCCCCUUCCAUGUUUAAUGGAAGCUUCAGGAAUGAGGUUUAUUUAUAUUGGGAAUCAGGGUGUGUGUGGUUAAAAAAUCUUCCCCUAGCACCAUAUCGACAAUCCAAAUCAACAUCCACCCACUUCAUGGCUGCUAUUAGAAAAAACAGACCUUGGAAGAUUUAAUUACAGAACUUUCUCAUUUUUUGUAGCUUGGCUCUUAGCGGUCAGGAAAGGCAGAAGCAGGGAUUGGUUCUCAGACUAAGUAACUGAGGUAGGAAGUGAGAGGUAGGCCCAAAGCCAGUCAUCACUACUUGUACUGGCUGUUGGAUAGCCUUGUAUCUGUUUUUGGCAGCCAAGAUCAGUGUGAAUGAGGGGAACUGAUUUCUGUAGUCCUAACUUAAAAGCUUUUAAAAGGGUCAGGGAAUAUCACCUCAUCUGCUCUGGCCUGUUUUGCUUAUAAGAGACUUUCUUGGCAGGCUGGGUUAUUCCCUACAGCUUACUCUUUGGUCAAAGGAAUAUGGUGGGGUACAGGUUAGAUCCGUUUCUGAUAUGCCUUCAGUCCCAGAUUCAGGACCUACCAUUCGGGGUCCCCUAACAAGGUAAUAUCUCAGGAGGCCCUGAUGUUGACUUUUGAUUUACAUUGCCUAAAGAGAUGCCUGUUUUCUGGAUUUCAAACAUUGCCUUGGUAGCAUUUUAAACGCCCCACAAGACUGCAGCUAGGCACUUUGGAAACUUUCUUUGUGUAAAGUUGGUGGGGAGGGGUCAAUCCUGAGUCCAGGUCUUAGGCUCCUCAAGGCUACUUACUUGGUCCUAUUCUGUAACAGCUGCUAGAACAGGACAGACUCAGUAACUAUACUGGUUUAACCGAUCCUCUUAUAUCUGU
Long non-coding RNA from Rhineura floridana, 1558 nucleotides. RefSeq lists it as uncharacterized. The transcript has 4 exons. Lineage: Eukaryota; Metazoa; Chordata; Lepidosauria; Squamata; Rhineuridae. The record is from RefSeq and is a predicted model, not a curated record.